Molecule: non-coding RNA, 30 nt
Filed under: Homo sapiens (human)
Lineage: Eukaryota; Metazoa; Chordata; Mammalia; Primates; Hominidae
Source: RNAcentral
UCACAAAAUAGGAUGGAUGAGAAUAGUCUC